GACGUAGGGCGCGAGCGUUGUCCGGAUUUAUUGGGCGUAAAGAGCUCGUAGGCGGCUUGUCGCGUCGACUGUGAAAACUCGGGGCUCAACUCCGAGCUUGCAGUCGAUACGGGCAGGCUAGAGUUCGGUAGGGGAGACUGGAAUUCCUGGUGUAGCGGUGAAAUGCGCAGAUAUCAGGAGGAACACCGGUGGCGAAGGCGGGUCUCUGGGCCGAUACUGACGCUGAGGAGCGAAAGCGUGGGGAGCGAACAGG
RNAcentral lists this ribosomal RNA (253 nucleotides) under uncultured bacterium. RNAcentral's name for it is "partial 16S ribosomal RNA". It matches the Rfam family "Bacterial small subunit ribosomal RNA", at positions 524 to 776 of the family's 1533-position model. The record is from RNAcentral.